CCUGUGCGACAGAGUGAGACUCCAUCUCACAAAAAAAAAGACAUUAUUCUCAUGAAAACAGUCAUGACAGUCAUGAACAAGUAGUCCUAUUUGUACAAAAUGAAAUACAAAUGACUAAUAAAUAGGUAAAAAGAUAUUCAACUUCACCAAUAACAAAGGAAUGUAAGUUAGAAAAAAAGAAAUGUAAUUUUCACUCAUCAGAGUAACAAACUUUUAUCAUAUCAAAUAUUGAUGAUGUUGUAAAGAAAUGAAUACUCUUUUUUACAGCUUAGUAGUAUUCCAUGGUAUACGUAUAUUCUGUAUUUUCUUUAUCCACUCAUUGGUUGAUGGGCACUUAGGUUGAUUCCAUAUCUUUGCAAUUGUGAAUUGUGCUGUGAUAAAUAUACACUGUUUUUGUAAGUAUAAAUUUUUGCAGCUAUUUACAGUACAAUUUUGGCAGUGUCUAUUAGAGUGAAAAAUAAUGUCUCCUCUGACUCAGCAAUUCAUUUCUGUUUCUACCUUAAGGAUGCACUUGCAUGUGCCCUGUAUGAAAGUACAAGCAUGUUAACUGCAGCAGUGUUAGUUACAGGCAAAAUUGGAAAUGAACAUCAAAACUGGGAUAAGAGCACCAUGGUAAAUCUGGACUAUGUAGUACUUGCAAAAGAUGCAGAUAAGCCUACGUGUACCAAUGUGGAAAGGUCUGUGAAACAUAUUGUUCACUGCAAAAAAUAACAAUUCCAAAAAAAGAAGUAUAGAUAAAAAAAUUUGGGUAUAAAAUCAACCCACAUACAAAAUAUAGAUCUUUGUAUAGUUGCAUACCUCUCUACAUGUUUGUAUAUGUUUUACAUACGUAUCUAUCUCUAUCUAUCAUCUAUCUCUCUCUCUCUCUAUCUAUCUAUCUCUCUAUCAUCUAUCUAUCUAUCUAUCUAUCAAGAGAUUGAUUUCAAUUCAAAGUAAAGUAACAGUAUAUUUGGAUGCAGAGCAAACAUAAGAGUGGCCUCCUCUACAAAAGGGACUCAAGAUAGAAAUCUGAAAAGCACAGAAAACUACAAAGGUAAAAAUAAACAACUAUAUUCCUAUGGUACCUUCUUUUAGCAUUUUUCUCUAUAUCCUUCCAGCCAUUUUUCUAUAUAGGUAUAGGGCAAGUUGGAAGUCUUGAUCUGCAGCAAAGGACCUUAUUUUAGAGGCAAAAAAUAUAUUAGUGUUAGUGAAUAGAUGUAGAAGAAAUUGAAAUCUGUGAACUCUGAGAAUUCAGGGGACGAUGUACCGAUCACUGACACCUUGGGGAGAAACAGACAAUGGGGAGAUAAACUGUGAAAUGUGCCCAUUGCUGGAACUUGAAGAGUGGAUGAGGAGUUUGAUGGAAUGGUAUGGAGGGGCCAAAUGCCACUGAAUCACUCAGGCACCCUCCUCCCCCAGUCACCUUAAUCAUGCCCUGUUUAUACAAACAAUAGCACAAUGAGAAAAAUGUAGAUACAACUGGAGGAACCCACCCAGGAAAAGUGUUUGGUAGAGUUUUGCAGAAGAUAGGAUAAGAUCUAGAGGAGAAGAAUUGGAAUUAUAAAUACAGUGGUUAAUUCUAGGCUCUACAUGUGUGGGAAUUUGGGCCAAUUUUGCUUUUAUAUUUCCCAGGGGAAAAAUGUCUGUUUCAACUAUAUUUUCAAAUUUAUUAUUAUAAAGUUUUUCAUAGUGUUAAUAUCUUCUUGAAAUUUUCAAACAUCAUACUUAUCCACGUGUCAGGAUUUUUUGGUUUUUAAUGUUAUUUGUUUCUUAUCCUUCUUGAUCCUAUUUGCCUAGGGUUUAUCUGUUUUAUGAGUCAUUUCAAAGAACAAGUUUUGGUUUUGCUGAUUAACUCAUUUCUGGGGAGGGAAAAUGUUUUUCAUUAAUUACAGUUUCUAGCUUAUAUUUUGUUCUUUCGAAUUUCGUUGGGUUUAUUUUCUUCCAUUUCCCUGUCCACUAAUGGGAUUUUGGAUUUCCUCUUCUCUGCAUUGCCUGUACAUUGCCUGGAGGCAGCAACGCAUAUGGCUAAUAAAACAUAUUGAGGAUGAAUGAGAAAACAACCUGGUUCCUGGAAGGAGAGAAACAAGGUGGAGUCUUCUCACAGAAACAAGGAGAAGGUCAGAGAGACCUCCGGGAGCAUCUCAUCUUGGAGGUAGCUGUUUGCAUGAGGGCAGUGCUUGUCCUGAGAUGCUAGUUUCGCAGAGUGGUGUUCACAAGGGAAAUAAGCUAGGUCAUUACCGUCUACCCUUACACCAGGAAGAGGAAAACAUUUCAGGCUUAUAUACCAAGGCUUUCCUGCCCCUAAGCUGUCCAGAGUUGCCUUAGUAUUGAUUAUCUUAACUUAAUUAUUAUAAAGUUUGCUGGUAAUGCUUUUGUAUUAAGAGUAAAAGAUAACCUUGAGAGCUGCAAACAUGAGCCCAGCGAUCCAGGAGAUCAAGUUAAUAAUUCUGGAUAUCAAGAGAUCCACGAUUAGUCAAUUCCAACCUGUUUUCCUUUGAUGCCUUAAUCAAGGUUUAGUUAUAGUUAACCUACUUUCAAAAUGCUUACUUCCACCCUCCCUCCAAGAAUCACCCUGAGCAUUUCCUCCACUCUCUAAGUUUAGGAAUUUAGGACUUUCCCCCAAGAAAGGCACUGUAGAGAACAAACAUAUGACAUCUCAAAGACACUUCGCCAUUUCAAAUAGGAAAGAAAAAUUUGCAUCCAAACAGGCCAAAUAUUGCACUCACUGUUAAUGUAAUCAUUUUUCUGACUUUGAAUUCCUUUUCCCAAGUGACUAAACAACGUCUUUAUUCUAACCUUUCGGCACUAGGCAGUUUUUCUCCUGCUUUAGUUUCCUCUACAACCUCCGGAAGAGUUUUCCUCAGCCCUGUUACCUGUUUCGUCCAUCAUUCUGUUGCUCACUGGAUUGGUUUUUACAUUAGUGUGUUUUGACAGCACACAAUGGUUUCCUCAGUUACACAACAGACUCAGUGCCAAUAAACUUUUUUUUAGGUAAUGUAAAGCAUAUUUGAGCACAAGAAUGAUUGCAUUUUCAUGGCUAAAAAUAAACAGUUGUUUUUAAUUUUCCAUGAGAAUGCUGGCUCUUAGCACAAGGGGCCACCUUCUACCUGGUGAACUCUUUAUGCCAAAGUCAUCACUACGUGGCUAGAAAUGUGAAAUUCAAGUUUUCCUUAUGUAACAUAAAGGGAAAAGCCCAUAGGCAAAUCUCUCUUUAAUUCCAUCGUAUCACUGCUCAUGCACAGUGCUUUUAAAACAGACUAUAACAAACAUACCCUAACAGAGAAACAAGUCCUACCCUAGCUAAUUUACAUAAAAAGACUAUCUUUAUUUUUAUAGUAACAAAAAAAGCUAGGAUUAUCUCAUUUAAUCCUUAUACCAUCAUUAUGAAGUGGGUAAUGUUAUACUUACAAAAGGAAGUUAAUCAUUUCUUAUUUUCCACAGACACCACAAGCUCAAGAGGCUGCAUUAGCGUUUUUUAUUGGAGGCAUUUUCUUUUCCUCCAGAUUUUGUUUUUGACUGUUAAGGUCAUAGCUACAAACAAUUGAUCAAGCCUAAAAGGGCAUUUAUAAACCACCUGCAUCUACAUUUUUUUCUUACUGUGGAUGGAUUUAAAAAGCCGUUUCAAGAUGAAAUCUUAUGAGUCAUUAUCAUGUCUUCUGAGGGCUGAGAUAUAACUUUGAAGUAGAGCCCAAACAUGAAGAUCAUGAAGAUGGCUUCUUCUCCAAAUGAUGUUAUCUUAAAAACUUGAAAAAGACAAAAAAAAAAAAAAAAAAAAAGAAGAAGAAAAAGAAAAAAGAAAGAAAAAAAGAGAGAGCGAGCCAAGGGAACUUGAAUCAGACAAACCUGGUUCAAAGUGAUUAUUCAACAAAUGUAAGCUGUUAUCAUCUUGUCCUCCAUCAUUCAAAUAUGUCCUGUAUAGAUCUUCCAUUAAUUUCAAAUAUCUAAUGAUCUACACCAUCAAAUAUUAUGAAGGUGAUGUUUAGCAGGUCAUUGGCUAAGACAGGCUCUACCUCAGUCUCUAAUAGAGAAGGAAAGACAAGUAGCAUUUACUAACACCCACAGUAUGCUUCAUAUUGUUGCCAGAAAUUUCAAAUGCACCAUCUAUUGAUGCAUGGAAUCCUUUCAACAUUCUUAGAAGACAAGACCUCCACCCUCUGCAAAACAUCUUCCCAGGAUUAUGGGAAGUGCCCAAGAUGUGGUCACGGGUGUACCACAGCCAGUUGGCUUCUGUGGUACUCUGCCGCUGCGCCUGCCUCCACUUCUGUGGUUCAUCCCCAACUCCCAUGGAAGUUGGAGCACUUUCACGGAACCCUGCGGUUCUUUCCAACAUGCAGCAGCCACCAGCCACAGUCACCUGCAACCACAAAUCAGCAAAGCCCCACAGCCCCGAAUCUCCACUGAGGUUUGUAAUGAAGUGGGACUUCAAGUUUAAGUCUUUCUCCGAGGCUAUUACGGCCUGCCAGUAGGGGCUCUCCAUGUGCACUGCUCAAACCAUUAUGCUCUAUAACUGUUUUCAGUGUAAGGCUCUUUACGCUUUGUUAGUAAUCUCUUGCUCUCCGGAGCCCAGAGAGUGACAGAUUCGUAACAGACCCCUGUUCACUCCUCGUUGCCUCUCCCCUGUGCUGAGAGGGCUUCUCAUUGGCUCAGGUGCAUCCCCUGUGCUGCUUCUCCCCUCAGGAUGCCCUCUUCAUCUAGAGGUUUCUCCAGGGAACCUGCCUGGCUCACUCACCUAACAAGCUAAGAAAUGUCUGAACCGUCUUUAAAUUCAAGCCAGGAGCCUAGAAGUAGUCCUAGGGAAAACGAAACAAAACAAAACAAAACAAAACAAAACCAACAAACAAACAAACACGACUGGAAAGAAAUACAUGGAGAAGUUAACAGGAGGGCUCCUUGGAGAGAUGGUUAAUUCUGGGGCUGGCCUGGGAAGGAUGAGAUGAGGCUGAAGCACCUUGCUGUGCCGGAACAUCAGGACGUGCUCAAAAAGUGAUGAGGCCAGGGCCUGAUGGAAGAGGCUCCCAGCAACCAAACCUGCCAAGGUUUGAGCACCAAAAAAACAGCAACAGUGAUUCUAUAACCCAUGAGAAUAAAAGAAUCAGUCCAUGAUGACAUAGGUAAGUAAAUAAAGAGAAAUACAUAGAAAGCUUCUUUUUACAGUAGAAUUUCAACUAAUAAAUAUCCAAGAGAUGAUGGGGAAAAUGUUGAAGUGGUUUAUCACAUAGAUGAGACCAUGGAUUUUUUUUCUUUUUUCUGAUCACCCUUUCUAAUUAUUUUUAUUUUUUUGCAAUGAAUAAUUGCUUGUAUAAUAAAAAUGCAAAAAGUCACCUGCAGUAGAUCGCCUGUGAAGUUAUAUUCUUAUUGUAUCUCUCAUGAGCGACAUUUGUCUCCUACUUUUAUGCUAAUGAAUUUUUGAUAGGCCCUAUCUUGCAUUUCUUUUUCCUAUUUACGUAUUUUAGAAAGAGGACAGCACAGGUGCUUCCCAGCAGGGCCACCCUGCACAAAGGCACCCAGUAGGCUGCAGAGUGAGGCUGAAAGUUAACCCCUGAUCUUUGCGUUAAACUGUGACGACUGGUGCACGGUUGCAUCUGCCCAUAAGGCCACUGUUUCCUAACUCACACAUGAUUCUGUCCUAGCUGCUGUGUCCUUCAAAAUAGUCUGUGUGGGUUUACCUGGUUGCUGCUAGAAUUCUUCUUUUUGAUCUCAAGGUCAAAGCCUGGUGGCAUGAACAGCAUUACCUGUUCAGCCGUGCGUCACUAAAGGUGUGAGGAGGUUGAGAUCAAGAGCAGUCUAGUUAGGAAGUGUCAUCUCUUCAAGUUUCCUCCCCUGAGUUUGUUGAACUUGCAGGGCAUGAGGUCACCUUCCUCAUCUGAUUUUCCCAUUCUCUAUUCCAAAUACAUGGCAUGGCUGUGGCCAGAUUCUUGCCACUCUAGGAGGUGAGUGGAAGGAUGUCCAGUUGCUUUAGGAAACUGUUCUUCCAUCACUGAGAAGCCAGGCCAGCUCACAAUUUAUGUUUCAUGAGGAUUACUUGUUCUUUCAGAAGUCACUGACAAAUGUUGGUCCCUACUGGCAAUGAGGUAGCUCUGCAUCUUUUCUCAGAACCACUCUGACAGGUAACUCUUGCCUCUCUCUAAUUCAGAGAUGUUGGUGAAAUACUCCUCUGCUCCGUUUACUCUGCAUCACUUUCUAGGAAAGAAAAGUGAUGAGUCAGCUCUUGACACUGUGCCUUCAGUGUGAUCCCCCUACAUUCUAGAAAACAGCAAUGCCUCAAAGCUGAUUCUCAACGCUGCUACAGGCUUUUUCUCUAUUUGGGGUUUCUAUUGAUUCUUUCCGUCAUUAUCUUUCCUAAAAGGGCAGCGUAUAAAGGGGAAUAGUUGCACAAAGGGGUAUUUUAAGAAUAAUUCGCCUUUAGGUGUGUGCUUCCAGAAGACACUGGUGGAGAAACUACUUCUGUGGGAGAAAAAGUACAGUGGCCUCUAGGGUGAGAACUCAAGGUGUCAGCAGCACCUACAUAAAGCAAGACACCAGCCAUGUGCCACCACACUGCCACCAGGAGACAGGUCCUGCUUGUGUUGAUCCCUGGUGACAUGACCAGAACCAAAACAAACGAACAAACAAACAAACAAACAACCUUAAAGUAGGUAAAGAUCUUGAAGGUGGCAAAAUGAUGCCAAUCCAAGAAGAAACCAAUUCCUAAUGUGAAAUGGAUACACUGACCCUGCCAACCAAGGGCAUUGUCUUUCCCAGUUUGAACAAAACCACAAUCCAUUAACUCCAGUAUUGAUGAUUUUCUUCUAUUCUAGGCCCUGAGCUCUUUUUGGGUCAACUGCAGCUGCAACUCUAGAGCGACAAUAAGGAUGUGUUUGAGGUGCUGAGGGAGGAGGAGGAUGGAGUGAGAAGGUGACAACAUUCAGCCAGGUGCCCCCAAAACAUGGAGGCAAGAGAAAGAGAAUUUGUCCAAGUGCAAGGUCUGCAGGCAGUGCAGGGCAGCUACCAGCAGGGCCCAUUUUUAUGGGAUUGUGAAAGGUGAUUCUGGAAAGGCAGGCAGCAGCUACAACAUGAAAGAUCUUUGGACUGUGUCUGUAUAUGAUAAGAAGUCAAAGAAGUAUCUUUAAAACAAGAGGAGCAAAGAGAGCUCAUCCUGGUAACAGAUGGAGGGUUAGGCUUGCCUAAGUUUACAGAAGUAGGUAAUGACAGGGCUAAGAGAGAACUCAGCUCAUUUUAAUUCCAUAUUGCUUAUCUUUCUCUUGUGCUUUGCAGUGUGUGUGUGUAUGUGUGUGUGUGCGUGUGUGUAGGGAGGAGGGGUGAGAUUGGCAAAAGUUGAGCCAGAUUAUACUGAUUAAUUAGUUCAACACCCAUUUUGCUGAGAGCAUACCGUGCCCACAGUGCUGAGUUGAGCAAACUUAAGAGGUGAUAUGAAAGGAGCAAAAGUGCUUAAAAAUCUGGGAAAGGGUAUCCAUCCCUGGUGCAUUGGUUUUGAUUAUUCCUCAGCUAUAUAAACAUCCAAAGAGAUGACCUCAUAUAUUCCACAGGCAUGACCGAAGAUUAUGGCACAGAUGUUCUGAAAUAAACAAUGUUAGUGCAAGCACAUAGCUGCACAGUCCUGUAAUGGUCCCGAGAAGAGCUUAGACCAUUUUUUUAAAAAACAUAAACCACAAGUUAAGGCUAAAUCAGAAAGAAAAUAGAAACCUUUCUUCAUCUGCUCUGUUCUUGGUUUCAUGUUUUAUAGAUGGCCUGGGAAGCCCUCUGCACGCCUUUCUCAACUAAGGAAUUUGUGGAAGUAGAAUUUCUUCUGUUGACAGAAUUCUGCUGAGAACUGAAUUUUCUGCUGUUUUCAUUACUCUUUUCUAAAUGUUUCACAGUUCUGUUUUUUUUACAGCCAGAUUUCCAUUUGAUACUGGUUGUGGUUACACUAAAAGUAACAUCUAUGGCCAAAUGGCUGGAAAUUUUACAUUUUUGACACCGAGAUUUUUCCUGUACUUCACGGAGGGCAAGGGUUAUACCCUAUUUUUUCCCAGUCUCCCACAGUGCCCAACCCAGACGACCGUACAUAAUAAGCGCUUUAUUCUCAGCACUGCUGUAUGCCUCAUUGGAACAGGAUGCCCAAGGUGAUGGCUGCAGAAAUGGAUGGAUUGGAGCGUGACUUGCCAAGACAGGUAUGUAGAAAUUAUUGUGGAGUGACGUGGCAUGAUCUCAGCUUACUGCAGCCUCAACCUCCCGGGCACAGGUGAUUCUCCAACCUCAGCCUUGGAGUAGC
RNAcentral lists this long non-coding RNA (8230 nucleotides) under Homo sapiens (human). Its description in RNAcentral is "HSALNT0382607". The record is from RNAcentral. Lineage: Eukaryota; Metazoa; Chordata; Mammalia; Primates; Hominidae.